Molecule: long non-coding RNA, 459 nt
Filed under: Cucumis sativus (cucumber)
Lineage: Eukaryota; Viridiplantae; Streptophyta; Magnoliopsida; Cucurbitales; Cucurbitaceae
Description: long non-coding RNA (CSAT_LNC000192)
Source: RNAcentral
AAGAACCAGAUGACUUCGACUUUCUCCGAUCCGAUUUCCCCUUUGUCUGCGACUCGGCCAAGGUUUGGCAGAUGGCUUCGAGUUUAGCGUCGACGGCGGAGUGUAGCGGUUUGUACUCGCCGAAAUCGCCACCGACGGAGGAGCCAUGGUGCUUGAGGUGAGGGAAAUUGAGUCUGGCGAAGUCGCCUCGGAGCUUGUAAGCGGCUUUGUCGUAAGCUAAAGCGGCUUCUUCGGCGGUAUCGAAGGUGCCGAGCCAUAGCCGAGUUCUGUUCCUCGGAAGACGGAUCUCAGCCACCCAUUUCCCCCAAUGCCUUUGCCUCACGCCUCGAUAUAGUUUCGUCGAUUUCGGUGGAGAUCCCACGUGUUUCAUUGGAAUCCCCCUCGGUCCAAGCAGAUUUCCGGCGGUGUUGCUCUGAUUUCUUACUACCUGGUUGUUGAUCUGUCCCCAAACUGGCUGGA